This 77-nucleotide transfer RNA is filed under the name Clostridium butyricum. RNAcentral's name for it is "tRNA-Arg". It matches the Rfam family "tRNA". From Rfam's summary of the family: Transfer RNA (tRNA) molecules are approximately 80 nucleotides in length. Their secondary structure includes four short double-helical elements and three loops (D, anti-codon, and T loops). The record is from RNAcentral. Lineage: Bacteria; Bacillati; Bacillota; Clostridia; Eubacteriales; Clostridiaceae.
GCACCUAUAGCUCAGAUGGAUAGAGCGUUGGACUUCGAAUCCAAGCGUCGCAGGUUCGACUCCUGUUAGGUGUACCA